CCUGAGCCCAAGGCACACGCUCAACCACUGAGCCACCUAGGUGCUCCGGAGGGUGAACUUCUUUACAGAAUUUCCUAACAACUGGCACCUCAGGAAAACAAAACAAAACAAAACAAAACAAAACAAAACAAAACAAAACAAAACAAAAACCCGGGAUCCCUGGGUGGCGCAGCGGUUUAGCGCCUGCCUCUGGCCCAGGGCGCAAUCCUGGAGACCCGGGAUCGAAUCCCAUGUCGGGCUCCCGGUGCAUGGAGCCUGCUUCUCCCUCUGCCUGUGUCUCUGCCUCUCUCUCUCUCUCUGUGACUAUCAUAAAUAAAUAAAAAUAAAAAUAAAAACAACCCACCCAGCAUGAGGUCGGGCCUACGGAGAGGUGAGAAAUCAAGGUGUAGGGGUCCCUAGGUGAUAGUGCUUCUCAGUCCACCUCAGGGCUACGAAAACAGAAGCAAGGACUCCAGGAGAUAUAUUUAAAACUGAGUGCAUCUUUGACUCUCUUCCAUAGCCAUCUUUCUUGGCCUAAAGGAACUCAGAAGGGAGUCCCGGCUCCAAAUAUGCUAUCGUGGCCUACAUGGCUUUCUCACAGGGUGUCUUAAGCUACUUUGUUUUCCUACAAGCCCCCGGAACUGUGCCCAUUAAGGAGCGCAGGGGUCAGCAACCUGCAGAGCCCAGAGGUGUUAGUAUCCAAGUUCAUCCUGUCUUUCCCGCGGCUCCAAGGUAGGGGAAGGUCUGGGUGUCCACCAGGCGGCCUCGCCAAGGAGGAACUUGGCACAAAUUCUCCAGCUCGCAGGGAGAGCGGGCAAAAGCCAGCAAGCCGGAGUACGAAGAGCGCCCCCGUGGGAGGCGGGAGCUGAGGCUGCCACCGAGCCACCCGCCUUUGCCCCCAAACCCAGGGCAGAGGGGCUGCGGGGACCGGUACGGCCCCCGAACCGAGCUGGAGCUGCCGGGAGGAAAGUCAGGUCCCCUCUGCGCUCCGGGUUCGCCCCCCGCCCCCCGCCCGCGGGGAAGAUGCCCCGGGCCCCGGCACGCAGCGGCGGGGGCUCCUCCCCGCGGGGAAGAUGCCCCGGGCCCGGGUCGCGGAAGGGCGGGCGUGGCCCAGGGAAUCCCGCGAAGCCGCCCCAGCGCCUGCCGGCGGGGCGCCCCGGGCUUUCCCCGCCGCCGGGUGCGCGGCGCCCGCCCGGCGCGGACCCUCCUGCCCCGCGGAGCGCGAGCCCCGGAGCCAAGCAGUCGCGCCGGUGGACAUGCCUGCCUCGGAGGGCCACCGCCGCGGCUGACCCUCCCGCAGCUCAUCCUUCGGAGGAUCGUGGCUCC
Molecule: long non-coding RNA, 1305 nt
Filed under: Canis lupus familiaris (dog)
Lineage: Eukaryota; Metazoa; Chordata; Mammalia; Carnivora; Canidae
Description: lncRNA (ENSCAFG00000054969.1)
Source: RNAcentral